This 440-nucleotide ribosomal RNA is filed under the name uncultured bacterium. RNAcentral describes it as "partial 16S ribosomal RNA". It matches the Rfam family "Bacterial small subunit ribosomal RNA", at positions 338 to 795 of the family's 1533-position model. The record is from RNAcentral.
CCUACGGGUGGCUGCAGUGGGGGAUAUUGCACAAUGGGGGAAACCCUGAUGCAGCGACGCCGCGUGUGGGAAGACGGUCUUCUGGAUUGUAAACCACUGUCCCCAGGGACGAAAAUGACGGUACCUGGGGAGGAAGCUCCGGCUAACUACGUGCCAGCAGCCGCGGUAAUACGUAGGGAGCAAGCGUUGUCCGGAAUUACUGGGUGUAAAGGGAGCGUAGGCGGGGAUGCAAGUUAGGUGUCAAAACUACCGGCUCAACCGAUAGUCGCACUCAAAACUGCAGCUCUUGAGUGAAGUAGAGGCAGGCGGAAAUCCUAGUGUAGCGGUGAAAUGCGUAGAUAUUAGGAGGAACACCAGUGGCGAAGGCGGCCUGCUGGGCUUUUACUGACGCUGAGGCUCGAAAGUGUGGGGAGCAAACAGGAUUAGAUACCCGUGUAGUC